AUCAGCCAUGACUUGGAAUAGUACUUUUAUCCAGCAAGCAGCGUUUUGGAUGUGAGCUCGAGCUCAAGCAACAAGCAGAGCAUCAAAAACAGGGGCUCUAUCUGCUAAUGGGGUAGCCGGAAAUGCAGUCUAAGAGGUACAUCUCGUGUGAUUUCUGCAUAUGAGAACUUGAGAAGAACAAGCUUGAUGCUAUUACUGAAAAGAAGAAUCUAUGCUACAGGAUUCUUCUUUGCAUCCCAUACACUUAGACGGAGUGGGAGGCUGCCGCAGCGGUGCUGGACUCGGAGCCCAAGCCAUUCGACGCCGCCAACAGCUUGCAGCUCUUCGCGAAAAUCACCACGAGUGUGAUGUGCUGACAGUCUGAUGCCUUCAGAAUUGGCUACUUUCAACCAAGAUUAGAGCUAGCGUACAGUUUGCAGUUUAUAGUCAAACUCAUACUCAAUGAGUCCCUACCUCGGCUUCUGGGCAAGAUAUUCUUUACUUUUAGCAACCACUUCUGUUCAGGAAUUUUGAGUUGCGCACAUCCUGGUCUGGCGAGCGGCAAGCCGAUGACCGGACAUCAUUUGUCAAGGAAGCAAACAGAAGGACUACACUCACAAGGAACCAUGAAGCCAACGAUCCACGUCAACUAGAUGUUUUAGCUUUCAUUUUGUACAACUAAUGUCUCAUACUUGCAUCUUUUGGUUGUCCUUUUGUAAACCUGAUGUAUGGUGUCUUAGUGGUUUUGUUUAGAACAGAUUGAAGUGUAUGUAUAUGCCAAUUAGUUAAUGAAAUAAAAAAAGUUUGGUGCUCC
This 793-nucleotide ribosomal RNA is filed under the name Triticum aestivum (bread wheat). RNAcentral describes it as "partial small subunit ribosomal RNA". Lineage: Eukaryota; Viridiplantae; Streptophyta; Magnoliopsida; Poales; Poaceae. The record is from RNAcentral.